Molecule: ribosomal RNA, 334 nt
Filed under: Lactobacillus sp. 39DCCL02MX
Lineage: Bacteria; Bacillati; Bacillota; Bacilli; Lactobacillales; Lactobacillaceae
Description: bacterial SSU rRNA
Rfam family: Bacterial small subunit ribosomal RNA
Source: RNAcentral
AGUCGAACGCGUUGGCCCUUUGAUUGAUGGUGCUUGCACCUGAUUGAUUUUGGUCGCCAACGAGUGGCGGACGGGUGAGUAACACGUAGGUAACCUGCCCAGAAGCGGGGGACAACAUUUGGAAACAGAUGCUAAUACCGCAUAACAACGUUGUUCGCAUGAACAACGCUUAAAAGAUGGCUUCUCGCUAUCACUUCUGGAUGGACCUGCGGUGCAUUAGCUUGUUGGUGGGGUAAUGGCCUACCAAGGCGAUGAUGCAUAGCCGAGUUGAGAGACUGAUCCGCCACAAUGGGACUGACACACGGCCCAUACUCCUACGGGAGGCAGCAGUUGG